RNAcentral lists this ribosomal RNA (206 nucleotides) under uncultured bacterium. RNAcentral describes it as "partial 16S ribosomal RNA". It matches the Rfam family "Bacterial small subunit ribosomal RNA", at positions 568 to 774 of the family's 1533-position model. The record is from RNAcentral.
UGCGUAGGCGGUGAGUUAAGUCUGAUGUGAAAUCCCCGGGCUCAACCUGGGAAUGGCAUUGGAUACUGGCUCGCUAGAGUACGGUAGAGGGUGGUGGAAUUCCCGGUGUAGCAGUGAAAUGCGUAGAGAUCGGGAGGAACAUCUGUGGCGAAGGCGGCCACCUGGACCAGUACUGACGCUGAGGCACGAAAGCGUGGGAGCAAACA